RNAcentral lists this long non-coding RNA (1626 nucleotides) under Capsicum annuum. RNAcentral describes it as "long non-coding RNA (CANN_LNC000118)". Lineage: Eukaryota; Viridiplantae; Streptophyta; Magnoliopsida; Solanales; Solanaceae. The record is from RNAcentral.
UCUGAUCCUUCCUUUUAUCUAAAGAACCAUUUUAAAUCGGAAGCCCGAUAUGAAUGGAUCCAGUCCCAUUCUUUGUGUGAUAUGUAGUGAAUGAAACUUCUGAACAUGAGCUUGAAUUCAAAUCAAACUUUCCAACACCCUCCUUAAGUUGGAGGGGAAGGAAGAGACACCCAACUUGCCAAGUAUGGAAGAAAGUGAAGGACCACACAAUGACUUCGUGAAUAGGUCUGCAAGUUGAGAUUUUGAGGGAACAAAAGUAAGGGAUAUGAAACCAGCAAGAAAUUGUUGCCAGACAAAGUGGCAAUCGAACUCCACAUACUUUGCCCGUUCGUGGAACACCGAAUUCCGAGCAAAAUAUGUAUGGCAGCUUGACUGUCAGAAAGAAUUGGUACCGAAAUUGAAGGUGAAAUAGAAAGAUUUGUGAGGAGUCGAGUGAGCCAAGUAAGUUCUGCUACAAGGCGAUACAUGGAUUGGUACUCCGCUUCAGUUGAGGAUAAAGAAACAGAGCUUUGUUUCUUUGAUUUCCAAUUGAUCGGUGCAACUCCCAAGUUGAUGAAGGAACCACUAACAAAUCGACGAGAGUCCCUGCAUGUGUUAGGAUUUUUGUCCUGAUUUUCUUAUUAUAUUUAAGUUUUAUUUUUUCUAACAAGGAAAAUAAAAAUGAUCAUAAUUACUUUUACUUUUACCGAAAGAAAAAAAGAUAAUUCUUUUCCAUAUUUGGCUAACCUCUUUCUUGAAGGAAAGGUUUUGAGCAUCUAUAAAUAUAAGACCCCUUCUCAUACCAUAACACAAUAACAUCCACAAUGUAGUCAUUAAAGAGUCUUUGUUUAGGGGGAGAUUUUCUCUCUCAUUAGCUUUUAUGUUUUUAAUAUUAGAUUUUAUAUGUCAGCCAAUUGGCCAAAUAAUAUAAUAAUAUUAAGCUUUUUAGUAUUGUUUUAUGCGUUUUUUGAAUUGUUACCACAAUGGUUUGCAACUAAUAGCUUCCGUAUGACGCCCUCUCAAUUUCAAACCCAACAAGUGGUAUCAAAGCCUAUGGUUCAAAGAUUCAAUGGUUCAAUUGAGGAUAGUUUAAUGUCAAAGUUGCAACCAAUUUGAUAAUAAUGAAGAUAUUUUGUCAAAAUAAAACUACAUAUGGAGAUAAUUGUCAAUCAUAUUUUCAACAAUCCUGCUGUCACAUAUUUGAAAAUAAAGCUUUCUUUUAACCCUACAAAGGGCUCCAAGAUUUUUAACCCAAAUGGGCUCAUAUAUUUUUUUAACCCCAAAAGCUCCAUUUUUAAGCAUGCCAAACAGCAGUGAUGAAGAUUAUGUGAAGAAUAAAAGAUCAAAGAUGUGAAGAAGACGGAUCAAUUAAAGAAAAUCAAGCCAAAAGGGGGAGAUUUGUUAGGAUUUUUGCCCUGAUUUUCUUACUAUAUUUAAGUUUUAUUUUUUCUUAGAAGGAAAAUAAAAGUUACCAUAAUUCCUUUUACUUUACCUGAAAGAAAAAAAUAUAAUUCUUUUCCAUAUUUGGUUAACCUCUUUCUUGGAGGAAAGGUUUUGGGCAUUUAUAAAUACAAGACCCCCCCUUCUCAUACAAUAACACAAUAGCAUUCACAAUGUAGUCAUUAAAGAGUGUUUGUUUAGGGGGAG